CAGAAGGGGGAAAGAAAGGGUGAAACCCUACUUGUUCAAUCAAGGUCAAAAUUCAGCAAAUUAAUGGUGGCUCUUGACACAAAUCGAAUGCAUGUGCUUGAUUUCUCACUAAUCUAAGUAUUCUGAUCAUAAGUAUAGGAACCAUAUCAACAUGGACACAAGCAUGGAAGGACAAUGGGCCAAGGGCAAUUAUAGAAGCUAUGCACGAACUCGGACGCACGAGGUUGUACGAAUCACGGGCGGUUAUCACGAGGAGUAGAGAUCGAAGACCGAGUCACAAGAUAGAUUGUACCGAAAUAGUUGAGUACGUAUUUUAGUAAGCAGGAUUUAUACUUUAUUUUUGUAAAAGAUACAUAUUAAAAUGAACUUUUAAGUAGGUCAAGAUGUUUGUAAUGAAAGAAAUUUUAUGGCACGA
Helianthus annuus (common sunflower) is the source of this 415-nucleotide long non-coding RNA. RefSeq lists it as uncharacterized. The record is from RefSeq and is a predicted model, not a curated record. Lineage: Eukaryota; Viridiplantae; Streptophyta; Magnoliopsida; Asterales; Asteraceae. The transcript is spliced from 3 exons.